GGCGGUCGCAGUGAGAACUUUGCAGGAGCAGCUGGAAAAGGCCAAAGAGAGUCUUAAGAACGUGGAUGAGAAUAUUCGCAAGCUCACCGGGCGGGAUCCGAAUGACGUGAGGCCCAUCCAAGCCAGAUUGCUGGCCCUUUCUGGUCCUGGUGGAGGUAGAGGACGUGGUAGUUUAUUACUGAGGUAAGAUUUCCUUUGGACUUUACUCAUGCUGAAACUGCUGGUACUUUACUAAAUAUGUUGGUUUGAACAAAACCUGUGAUAAAAUCAAUAACCCAGUGUUUGUCGUCUUUGUUUUGUUUAAUGUUGUAAUAGACUAGAUUUCUGUAUAAAUAUAGUUAUCCUGAAAAACUGGAGGUUGAAGAAUAUAUUAAGUGUACCAAUUUUGAGUGAACUUAAUUCUUAUAAAGUAACACUAUAAAAGCAUUUUGGAAUGAAUACCCGUUUAAGGCUACUUUAGUUGGAAAGAUUUUUGAAAGUUUAACCAUAUUCUCUUGUCAAAUGGAAAUACCAUUUAUCUUGUAUUUCAAGUGUUUUAUGUUGAACAUUUUAAAUUUCAGGCGUGGAUUCUCAGAUAGUGGAGGAGGACCCCCAGCCAAACAGAGAGACCUUGAAGGGGCAGUC
Molecule: small RNA, 624 nt
Filed under: Pan troglodytes (chimpanzee)
Lineage: Eukaryota; Metazoa; Chordata; Mammalia; Primates; Hominidae
Description: retained intron
Source: RNAcentral